GUUGAGACAUAUCCAGACAUGAUUUCAAGACGUGAAGCUAAAGAAUAUACAUCGCCCCAUAAUCAUUUUGAUAGAUUAUUAACGUUUACUAAUACCUAAAGUUGCAUUACAAAAGUAUUUCGAAGUGUUUUGUGAAAGUUUAUCAUCGACUUUUUUAAUUUUUUUAAAUGACAUUGCGUUAUCAAACUCAGUUUUUUCCUUGAUUACACAGUCUUCAUAGAUCGAUAUCUAGGCUAUAUAUGGACCGAUUUAAUCGAAAAAAGACCCAAAUAAAUGUUUAUGGGACAUCUAGGAGUGCCAAGAAAGAAGCUUGUCAAAGAGCUGCCCAGACAACAUGGCAGAGUUGGUAUAGUGACGGGAGGCAUCAGUGGAAUCUGCUUUGAGACCGCAAGACACAUGGCCAGCCUGGGGGCACACUUUAUCAUAGCUGGACAGCAGGAGCGGGAGGGUGUGUCUGCUGUGAAGAGGAUUCGUGAGGAGAACAGAGAGGCCAAAGGUCACAGUCCCCACAACCCUGUUUGGUUUUGUGUCUCCUUGGCUCUGGAUAUUACUGAUUGGCUGGAGAGUGAACACACCUUUUCAAAGCCACAGUUCUGUAAACAGCUGAGGGAUGAGUGUAACGGCUGUUGGAAGGAGUGGAGGACCAAGGUGCAGCGUG
Molecule: long non-coding RNA, 658 nt
Organism: Oncorhynchus tshawytscha (Chinook salmon)
Lineage: Eukaryota; Metazoa; Chordata; Actinopteri; Salmoniformes; Salmonidae
Source: Ensembl